This 254-nucleotide ribosomal RNA is filed under the name uncultured bacterium. RNAcentral's name for it is "partial 16S ribosomal RNA". It matches the Rfam family "Bacterial small subunit ribosomal RNA", at positions 524 to 776 of the family's 1533-position model. The record is from RNAcentral.
UACAGAGGUCCCAAGCGUUGUUCGGAUUCACUGGGCGUAAAGGGUGCGUAGGCGGUCGGGUAAGUCUGAUGUGAAAUCUCACAGCUUAACUGUGAAACUGCAUUGGAUACUAUUCGGCUUGAGAGUUGGAGGGGGGACUGGAAGUUCUUGGUGUAGCAGUGAAAUGCGUAGAUAUCAAGAGGAACACCAGUGGCGAAGGCGAGUCCCUGGACAACUUCUGACGCUGAGGCACGAAAGCUAGGGGAGCAAACAGG